CGGCGGACGGGUGAGUAAUGCCUAGGAAUCUGCCUGGUAGUGGGGGACAACGUUUCGAAAGGAACGCUAAUACCGCAUACGUCCUACGGGAGAAAGCAGGGGACCUUCGGGCCUUGCGCUAUCAGAUGAGCCUAGGUCGGAUUAGCUAGUUGGUGAGGUAAUGGCUCACCAAGGCGACGAUCCGUAACUGGUCUGAGAGGAUGAUCAGUCACACUGGAACUGAGACACGGUCCAGACUCCUACGGGAGGCAGCAGUGGGGAAUAUUGGACAAUGGGCGAAAGCCUGAUCCAGCCAUGCCGCGUGUGUGAAGAAGGUCUUCGGAUUGUAAAGCACUUUAAGUUGGGAGGAAGGGUUGUAGAUUAAUACUCUGCAAUUUUGACGUUACCGACAGAAUAAGCACCGGCUAACUCUGUGCCAGCAGCCGCGGUAAUACAGAGGGUGCAAGCGUUAAUCGGAAUUACUGGGCGUAAAGCGCGCGUAGGUGGUUUGUUAAGUUGGAUGUGAAAUCCCCGGGCUCAACCUGGGAACUGCAUCCAAAACUGGCAAGCUAGAGUAUGGUAGAGGGUGGUGGAAUUUCCUGUGUAGCGGUGAAAUGCGUAGAUAUAGGAAGGAACACCAGUGGCGAAGGCGACCACCUGGACUGAUACUGACACUGAGGUGCGAAAGCGUGGGGAGCAAACAGGAUUAG
RNAcentral lists this ribosomal RNA (689 nucleotides) under Pseudomonas sp. GA78-2. RNAcentral's name for it is "bacterial SSU rRNA". It matches the Rfam family "Bacterial small subunit ribosomal RNA", at positions 96 to 781 of the family's 1533-position model. The record is from RNAcentral. Lineage: Bacteria; Pseudomonadati; Pseudomonadota; Gammaproteobacteria; Pseudomonadales; Pseudomonadaceae.